RNAcentral lists this ribosomal RNA (253 nucleotides) under uncultured bacterium. Its description in RNAcentral is "partial 16S ribosomal RNA". It matches the Rfam family "Bacterial small subunit ribosomal RNA", at positions 524 to 776 of the family's 1533-position model. The record is from RNAcentral.
UACGUAGGAGACGAGCGUUGUCCGGAGUUACUGGGCGUAAAGGGUGCGCAGGUGGCGGCGCGCGUGGGGGGUGAAAUCGCCCGGCUCAACUGGGCGGGGUCAGCGGAUACGGUGUGGCUCGAGCAAGCUAGGGGGCAAUGGAAUUCCCGGUGUAGUGGUGGAAUGCGUAGAUAUCGGGAGGAACACCAGUGGCGAAGGCGGUUGCCUGGAGCUUUGCUGACGCUGAUGCGCGAAAGCGUGGGGAGCGAUCCGG